RNAcentral lists this ribosomal RNA (468 nucleotides) under uncultured bacterium. RNAcentral describes it as "partial 16S ribosomal RNA". It matches the Rfam family "Bacterial small subunit ribosomal RNA", at positions 28 to 507 of the family's 1533-position model. The record is from RNAcentral.
GACGAACGCUGGCGGCGUGCUUAACACAUGCAAGUCGAACGGAAAGGCCCUGCUUUUGUGGGGUGCUCGAGUGGCGAACGGGUGAGUAACACGUGAGUAACCUGCCCUUGACUUUGGGAUAACUUCAGGAAACUGGGGCUAAUACCGGAUAGGAGCUCCUGCUGCAUGGUGGGGGUUGGAGAGUUUCGGCGGUGGGGGAUGGACUCGCGGCUUAUCAGCUUGUUGGGGGGGUAGUGGCUUACCAAGGCUUUGACGGGUAGCCGGCCUGAGAGGGUGACCGGCCAAAUGGGGACUGGGAUCGGGCCCAGACUCCUACGGGAGGAAGCAGGGGGGAAAAUUGCACAAGGGGCGGAAGCCGGAGGCAGCAACGCCGCGUGCGGGAUGACGGCCUUCGGGUGUUAAACCGUUUUCGCCUGUGACGAAGCGUGAGUGACGGUAAUGGGUAAAGAAGCACCGGCUAACUACGUG